UUACCGUUUCAGGGCUUCCGUUUCCAGUGAUUGUUUUUCCGUUAAAACGAACAAGUUGCUAAGGGCCAAUGUCAAUGUUACUAAGUGAAGUCUGGUGGUCUUUGUCCGUUGUUUUCUUAUCCGUUGUUUAUCAUUUGUAAAUGUAACUGUUAUAUUCGUAUUUAUCUCGUCAUUGGCGACAUUUUGGUAUAUAAUUUACGAAGCUUUGUGGAUCAUUUCAUGUUUUUAUUGAUAUUUUGGAAAUUGUAGCGUAUAAAAGGC
Molecule: long non-coding RNA, 261 nt
Filed under: Paramuricea clavata
Lineage: Eukaryota; Metazoa; Cnidaria; Anthozoa; Malacalcyonacea; Plexauridae
Source: RNAcentral